AUAUCUCUCUGUACGGGAAGGAUGAGAAGCUUCGACUAAGGUUCGAUUCGAGCGCAGCGAGAAAGCGUUGCCGCAGGCAACGACCCGAAGGGCGAAGCGCGCAGCGCUGAGUCAUCC
Molecule: small RNA, 117 nt
Filed under: Salmonella enterica subsp. enterica serovar Muenchen
Lineage: Bacteria; Pseudomonadati; Pseudomonadota; Gammaproteobacteria; Enterobacterales; Enterobacteriaceae
Also listed under: 5 other names
Description: partial RtT sRNA
Rfam family: RtT RNA
About the family: This family represents a bacterial cis-regulatory element known as RtT RNA. The exact function of RtT is unknown although it is thought that it may be involved in changing the cellular response in relation to amino acid starvation.
Source: RNAcentral